CGUAAUUCCAUUACAACACAACGCGACACGUGCUGUUUUCCGGGAUAGAAUUCUGUGAUACAGCGUUGUCAUGUGAACGCAGUUUAAUGUUUUAUUUUUUAUACAUAGAAGAGUGAUAAGCGGCUGUGAAUAAGGAGAGGAAUAAAAGCCCCAUCAGGAUGUUUGUGUUGGUCGAAAUGAUCGACACUGUACGGAUCCCUCCGUGGAAUUUCCACCGGCAGCUGAACGACGCCAUCGCCGAGGAGCUCAACAAGAAACUGGCCAACAAGGUGGUGUAUAACGUCGGCUUGUGCAUCUGCCUCUAUGACAUCACCAAACUGGAGGACUCCUACAUCUUCCCCGGAGACGGAGCCUCUCACACUAAAGUGCACUUCAGGUAUGUGGUGUUUCACCCGUUUUUGGAUGAGGUUCUGGUCGGGAAGAUCAAAUACUGCAGUCAGGAGGGAGUGUAUGUCAGCCUUGGAUUCUUUGAUGACAUCCUAAUCCCACCUGAGUCCCUGCAGCAGCCUGCGAAAUUCGAUGAAAACGAGCAGGUCUGGGUGUGGGAGUACGAGACGGACGAAGGAGCUCAUGACCUCUACAUGGACCAGGGUGAGGAGAUCCGAUUCCGGAUUGUGGACGAGUUGUUCCUGGAUACGUCUCCGACCGGGCCCACCAAGGAGCCCGAGGCGCCGGCUCAACCUGCAGGCGCGGUGCCUGUGACCGCGACGGACGACGGGACGCAGAAGAAAGAGUCUCCUUACACACUGCUGAGCAUCGUGGGGGUUAAAUAAUACCUGAACAUGCAGCUUAUGUUUCAGUAUCAGCUUUCAGUCGUUAUUAGCAAGCUCAGCGUCUCAAGGGCCUCCAUCAGUGAGCCAGGCCUGGGCUUGCUGUCAUGGUGGAGCAGCUAACGACUGAAACCGUUGCUCCUGAUCCGGUUAUCUGUACAUCAUUGGAGACCAGCGAGCGAGAGGAUGUUUUCUCCUUUGUCUUGAGAGACAUCCCAAGGCGAAUCCCGCGCUCAUCAUCGACCGGCGGCGUCUCUCUGGUGCUCCUCUGCCCUGACCUCGACGUUUGAAGUCCAUAUUGGAUUCUGACCAACAGUUCGGCGGACCAACGGGUGAGACGUGAUUGCGUCGACGCUCAUCAAAUUUGCAUGUCCUCCUGCGCCGCUCUGUCUCAGGAAUAGACGACCUUCUUUCCUAAGGAGAGCAGUAACCGUCUUCUGUUUCAGUGACCUGGUGUGAGACAACACCAGUUUCUGUGUAUCUUACUGUAUAUAUGUGUGUUGUUUUUUUUUUGAGGGAGGGAUAUAUUUAUUUUGCUUUAAAAUACAGAUUUAAUCAAGUUGGAUGUCCAUUUUGAUUGGUUAAUGGGUGCCAGUGAGUGCAAAAUAAAUAAAUUUUUAUUAACAUUCA
Clarias gariepinus (North African catfish) is the source of this 1400-nucleotide RNA transcript. It is a transcript of the gene named polymerase (RNA) III (DNA directed) polypeptide H, with no coding region annotated. The transcript has 8 exons. The record is from RefSeq and is a predicted model, not a curated record. Lineage: Eukaryota; Metazoa; Chordata; Actinopteri; Siluriformes; Clariidae.